Molecule: small nuclear RNA, 104 nt
Organism: Jaculus jaculus (lesser Egyptian jerboa)
Lineage: Eukaryota; Metazoa; Chordata; Mammalia; Rodentia; Dipodidae
Source: RefSeq, a predicted model, not a curated record
GGGCUCGCUUUGGCAGCACAUAUACUAAAAUUGGAACGAAACACAGAUUAGCAUGGCCCCUGUGCAAGGAUGACAUACAAACUCAUGAAGCAUUCCAUAUUUUU